UGCAAAAGAAUGUGUGUUUUCCAGAAUAUUGAUGAGCUGUCUUACGAGACCUAAAAUUGUAGAGAAGUCUAACACUGGACUGCGGGAACAAGAGGUAAAGAAAUUGUGAAGGAGUUACUCUGAUACGCAUUAGACAUUAAUAUGCACAUUUGAAUGAGGAGUCAGGUUCCACGUUAUAAUAAAAACCACUUGUAAAGAAUUUUCUCCUGAAUUCAAAUCUUUAAAACGGCCACAACAGAUUACAUUAUUUUUUAAGGAAGGCUAGUGGGCACGGACACAAUCAGUGGUGAAUUUGAAGACUGCAGAGCUGCUGUGAACCUGGGUCCCUGAAUUAAUACAUGGAUAAAAAUACCAUGCCAGUACAUUCGCCUUUCCAGUAAUGGUGUGUGAAGAACAAAAUAAUCUAAAGUAUUUGGAUCACUUGGAGGAUUUUAUUUCAUCUUGAAAAACUGCACAUAGUGGAGAGUUUCUUCACUUUAUUCCUUCAGUCUUAACAUACCCUACUGAGUAA
Molecule: long non-coding RNA, 511 nt
Organism: Hyaena hyaena (striped hyena)
Lineage: Eukaryota; Metazoa; Chordata; Mammalia; Carnivora; Hyaenidae
Exons: 4
Source: RefSeq, a predicted model, not a curated record